Molecule: ribosomal RNA, 262 nt
Filed under: uncultured bacterium
Lineage: Bacteria
Description: partial 16S ribosomal RNA
Rfam family: Bacterial small subunit ribosomal RNA
Source: RNAcentral
UUUUCCUACGGGAGGCAGCAGUGGGGAAUAUUGCACAAUGGGGGAAACCCUGAUGCAGCGACGCCGCGUGAGUGAAGAAGUAUUUCGGUAUGUAAAGCUCUAUCAGCAGGGAAGAAAAUGACGGUACCUGACUAAGAAGCCCCGGCUAACUACGUGCCAGCAGCCGCGGAAAUACGUAGGGGGCAAGCGUUAUCCGGAUUUACUGGGUGUAAAGGGAGCGUAGGCGGCGCGGCAAGUCUGAAGUGAAAGGCAGGGGCUUAAC